Molecule: long non-coding RNA, 1328 nt
Organism: Aplysia californica (California sea hare)
Lineage: Eukaryota; Metazoa; Mollusca; Gastropoda; Aplysiida; Aplysiidae
Exons: 6
Source: RefSeq, a predicted model, not a curated record
AGAGGAGACACGUAGAUCUACAGGAAAAACAUUAGCUAGUGGCUGUUGGUCGUUACAUUUUAUACUUUUGAUACUUUGUAAUGUUCAAGUUUCCCUUGUCAGUUUGUGAAAGCUGAAACCAAAAGACAGCCCAAAAUAUUUGUUCACGCAUUUCAGGCAGACAAAACAGACCCAGCAACUCAGCAUCGCUAUGAUAAGGCUGAGCCUAGCCUUCCUGGUGGUGUCCACCAUCCUGUGCCUGGCCCACGCCAGGAGACCUAUCCACUGGCAGAACAUAUGGUACCAGGACCACGAGUUCCAGUGUCCCAGAGGACAGUACGUCAACUUGGUGAAAAGUUAUCAUUCCAAAAGAAGAGAAGACAGGCGCUGGGCAAUCGGCUGUGGGGGGAGAGGGGUGACCAGUGCUAGAUGCGAGUGGAGUAAACAAGUCAACGAGUUUGACAAGCCCCUCUACUUCCUCUGCCCUCACAACAUGGUGCUCUCGGGCUGGAGCAGUCGUCCCUCCAACAAAAACGAGGACAGAGUCUUUAAGUUCCGGUGCUGCAGAAUCAAAGGGAGACGAGGACACAAGAGUAGUGUAACCCCCCGAAACUGUAAAAUCACGAGAUGGGUGAACAAGUGGAACAAGUUUUUGGGCAUCAGAACGCAUGGAAAUAUCGUCAUCACUGGCGUCUCCAGCCUCUAUAACAACCAGAAAGAAGAUCGCAGAUGGAGAUUUCAAUUAUGUCAUAUCUAAGGCCGUUCCUCCUUUGGACAACCUCCCCCGUGACAAUGGAAACAUGAAAGCUCUAAGGCUGUUCCAUCUAUGUACAAACCCACCUCUAAAAAAAAUACAAACAACGAGAGGCCUUCUAUUCUUUUAUUCUUAUACAAUUUCUCAUUACUCUGGGUUAUCUUUGAGUAAAUUAUUUUAUUUUAUUUUAAAUUUUUCGUUGAUAUUAAUAUUUAGAUCAAAUUUUUGUUGGAUAAUUUCUAUUCUACCAUACUGUUUUAUUGAAAUAUUUCUCAAUUCUGUUUGAAUCUAAUUGUCUGAUUCUUUUUUUUUUUUUUUUAAUUCCUAUUCCUUAUUAGAUAGGCAAGCUCACCGCGAAGAAUUAGGAGUAAAACCCAUACACCAACAAAAAUCCCUUAUUUCGAUAUUUGAUUUUGGAAAGUUGAAAUGAUUUAAAGAAACAACUCUUCAAGUUAGAAAUAUGGAAACAGAUUACGUUUGUUACUGUACAUUUCAAAAAUAAUUAAUCGAAUGAGUUAUUAUAUUUUCUGUUGAUCUUUCCACGUAAGGUUUUUCUUUUAUUAUCUCUUGAAAUAAAUAUAAGGCCAUGGUGAAC